Molecule: ribosomal RNA, 968 nt
Filed under: uncultured bacterium
Lineage: Bacteria
Description: bacterial SSU rRNA
Rfam family: Bacterial small subunit ribosomal RNA
Source: RNAcentral
AAUGCAAGCGUUUUCCGGGAAUCAUUGGGCGUAAAGCGCCUGUAGGUUGUUUAAUAAGUCUGUUGUUAAAGACUAGGGCUUAACCCUAGAAAAGCAAUGGAAACUACUGGACUAGAGUAUGGCAGGGGUAGAGGGAAUUUCUAGUGUAGCGGUGAAAUGCGUAGAUAUUAGAAAGAACACCGGUGGGCGAAAGCGCUCUACUGGACCAUUACUGACACUCAGAGGCGAAAGCUAGGGUAGCAAAAGGGACUAGAUACCCCUGUAGUCCUAGCCGUAAACGAUGGAUACUACAUGUUGUGCAUUACGUACAGUAUGGUAGCUAACGCGUUAAGUAUCCCGCCUGGGGAGUACGCUCGCAAGGGUGAAACUCAAAGGAAUUGACGGGGGCCCGCACAAGCGGUGGAGCAUGUGGUUUAAUUCGAUGCAACGCGAAGAACCUUACCAGGACUUGACAUACUACAAAUUCUUUUGAGAAAGAGAAGUGCCUUCGGGAAUGUAGAUACAGGUGGUGCAUGGCUGUCGUCAGCUCGUGUCGUGAGAUGUUGGGUUAAGUCCCGCAACGAGCGCAACCCUUAUUUUUAGUUACCAAUUCGUUGGGUUCUCUAGAAAGACUGCCGGUGACAAACCGGAGGAAGGUGAGGAUGACGUCAAGUCAGCAUGCCCCUUAUGUCCUGGGCUACACACGUGCUACAAUGGUUAAGACAAAGAGUCGCGAGCUCGUGAGAGUGAGCUAAUCUCAUAAACUUAGCCCAAGUUCAGAUUGUAGGCUGCAACUCGCCUACAUGAAGUUGGAAUCGCUAGUAAUCGCUGGUCAGCCAUACAGCGGUGAAUCCGUUCCCGGGCCUUGUACACACCGCCCGUCACACCAUGGGAGCUGGUCAUACCCAAUACCGUUAGCUUAACCGUUUGGAGAGCGACGUCUAAGGUAGGGCUAGUGACUGGGGUGAAGUCGUAACAAGGUAACCGUA